UAAUUAUAGGUUUAUGCUGAAUUGAAACAUAUAUAUAGACUUUAAAAAAAAUCUUGCAUCUUUCGGGAGAUAUUAAUCCAGGAAAGUGGAAGGAUAUCUUGUUUCCUGGAAGUGGUGCAGCCUAGGAAAAACAGCAAACAGAAAGUAGGAAAAAAAUGUUUUGACUUCAGGAUUACGUAACUUUUUAUUCUUCGUGGCAUGACCCACUUUUUUUCGAUUAAAUCACAAUUUCACAUUAGUACAUACAUGAUAUUAACGUGAAUUUUUUUUUCUAUGUAGCAUUUUUUAUUUUUUUAUUUUCA
RNAcentral lists this long non-coding RNA (302 nucleotides) under Mytilus galloprovincialis (Mediterranean mussel). Lineage: Eukaryota; Metazoa; Mollusca; Bivalvia; Mytilida; Mytilidae. The record is from RNAcentral.